Molecule: ribosomal RNA, 496 nt
Filed under: uncultured bacterium
Lineage: Bacteria
Description: partial 16S ribosomal RNA
Rfam family: Bacterial small subunit ribosomal RNA
Source: RNAcentral
GAUGAACGCUGGCGGCGUGCCUAAUACAUGCAAGUCGAGCGAACAGACGAGGAGCUUGCUCCUCUGACGUUAGCGGCGGACGGGUGAGUAACACGUGGAUAACCUACCUAUAAGACUGGGAUAACUUCGGGAAACCGGAGCUAAUACCGGAUAAUAUAUUGAACCGCAUGGUUCAAUAGUGAAAGACGGUUUUGCCGUCACUUAUAGAUGGAUCCGCGCCGCAUUAGCUAGUUGGUAAGGUAACGGCUUACCAAGGCAACGAUGCGUAGCCGACCUGAGAGGGGGAUCGGCCACACUGGAACUGAGACACGGUCCAGACUCCUACGGGAGGCAGCAGUAGGGAAUCUUCCGCAAUGGGCGAAAGCCUGACGGAGCAACGCCGCGUGAGUGAUGAAGGUCUUCGGAUCGUAAAACUCUGUUAUUAGGGAAGAACAAAUGUGUAAGUAACUAUGCACGUCUGGACGGUACCUAAGCAGAAAGCCACGGCUAACUACGU